Molecule: ribosomal RNA, 258 nt
Filed under: uncultured bacterium
Lineage: Bacteria
Description: partial 16S ribosomal RNA
Rfam family: Bacterial small subunit ribosomal RNA
Source: RNAcentral
UACAGAGGGUGCAAGCGUUAAUCGGAAUUACUGGGCGUAAAGCGCACGCAGGCGGCGCGGUAAGUCUGAUGUGAAAUCUCCCGGCUUAACUGGGAGGGGUCAUUGGAAACUGCCGAGCUUUGAGGCGAUGAGAGGGGUGUAGAAUUCCCGGUGUAGUGGUGGAAUGCGUAGAUAUCGGGGAGGAACACCAGUGGCGAAGGCGGCUUCCUGGCCUGUUCUUGACGCUGAGGCGGCGAAAGCCAGGGGAGCAAAGCGGGG